This 497-nucleotide ribosomal RNA is filed under the name uncultured bacterium. RNAcentral's name for it is "partial 16S ribosomal RNA". It matches the Rfam family "Bacterial small subunit ribosomal RNA", at positions 28 to 507 of the family's 1533-position model. The record is from RNAcentral.
GAUGAACGCUGGCGGCGUGCCUAAUACAUGCAAGUCGAGCGAACAGACGAGGAGCUUUCUCCUCUGACGUUAGCGGCGGACGGGUGAUUAACACGUGGAUAACCUACCUAUAAGACUGGGAUAACUUCGGGAAACCGGAGCUAAUACCGGAUAAUAUAUUGACCCUCAUGGGUCAAUAGUGAAAGACGGUUUUGCUGUCACUUAUAGAUGGAUCCGCGCCGCAUUAACUAGUUGGUAAGGUAACGGCUUACCAAGGCGACGGUGGGUAGCCGACCCGAAGGGGGUGAUCAGCAGCGGGGAAGUGAGGACGCGCCCAGACUCCUACGGGAGGCAGCAGUAGGGAAUCUUCCGCGAUGGACGAGAGCCUGACGGAGCAACGCCGCGUGAGUGAUGAAGGUCUUCGGAUCGUAAAACUCUGUUAUUAGGGAAGAACAAAUGUGUAAGUAACUAUGCACGUCUUGACGGUACCUAAUCAGAAAGCCACGGCUAACUACGUG